RNAcentral lists this ribosomal RNA (253 nucleotides) under uncultured bacterium. Its description in RNAcentral is "partial 16S ribosomal RNA". It matches the Rfam family "Bacterial small subunit ribosomal RNA", at positions 524 to 776 of the family's 1533-position model. The record is from RNAcentral.
UACGAAGGGGGCUAGCGUUGCUCGGAAUUACUGGGCGUAAAGGGCGCGUAGGCGGCACUGUUAGUCAGGCGUGAAAGCCCCUGGCUCAACCGGGGAGGGUCAUUCGAUACUGCUCGACUCGAAGGCAGGAGAGGGAAGCGGAAUUCCCGGUGUAGUGGUGAAAUGCGUAGAUAUCGGGAGGAACACCAGUGGCGAAGGCGGCUUUCUGGCCUGUUCUUGACGCUGAGGCGCGAAAGCUAGGGGAGCAAACGGG